UACGAAGGGGGCUAGCGUUGUUCGGAAUUACUGGGCGUAAAGCGUAUGCAGGCGGAUCGUUAAGUCGGGGGUGAAAUCCCGAGGCUCAACCUCGGAACUGCCUUCGAUACUGGCGAUCUUGAGUCCGGGAGAGGUGAGUGGGACUCCGAGUGUAGAGGUGAAAUUCGUAGAUAUUCGGAAGAGCACCAGUGGCGAAGGCGGCUCACUGGCCCGGUACUGACGCUGAGAUACGAAAGCGUGGGGAGCAAACAGG
This 253-nucleotide ribosomal RNA is filed under the name uncultured bacterium. Its description in RNAcentral is "partial 16S ribosomal RNA". It matches the Rfam family "Bacterial small subunit ribosomal RNA", at positions 524 to 776 of the family's 1533-position model. The record is from RNAcentral.